This 261-nucleotide ribosomal RNA is filed under the name uncultured archaeon. RNAcentral's name for it is "partial 16S ribosomal RNA". It matches the Rfam family "Archaeal small subunit ribosomal RNA", at positions 748 to 1008 of the family's 1478-position model. The record is from RNAcentral.
CAGCCGUAAACUAUGCGCGUUAGGUGUAUCGGUGACCACGAGUUACCGAGGUGCCGAAGGGAAACCGUGAAACGUGCCGCCUGGGAAGUACGGUCGCAAGGCUGAAACUUAAAGGAAUUGGCGGGGGAGCACCACAACAGGUGGAGCCUGCGGUUUAAUCGGACUCAACGCCGGGAAGCUCACCGGAUAGGACAGCAGAAUGAUUGCCGGGCUGAAGACCCUGCAUGACUAGCUGAGAGGAGGUGCAUGGCGUCAGUGACU